Molecule: long non-coding RNA, 3668 nt
Filed under: Homo sapiens (human)
Lineage: Eukaryota; Metazoa; Chordata; Mammalia; Primates; Hominidae
Description: HSALNT0083244
Source: RNAcentral
AAUUUUUCUAAUAAUUUAUUCAAAUAGGCAUCAAGCUCCACACAGGCACAAGGGCCAAGAGGUGCCCCCAAGGGCUCGUGUGUGGGGCGAGGAGGCAGGUGGUCCUACAGAGGGGGUGGUCCUGCAGUGCAGGUGAGUGCCGCACAUGCUGGUGGCAUCACCAAGGCCGGGACUGCGCUGCAGUAACACCCACCUCCCACUGGCUCAAAGCAAAGGGUCUGUGUGUCACUCAUGUCGCUGCUGAACCCGGGCUGGGUGGCCCUCCCACAGCCCCCAGGGCUAUGGUCUCUGGGUCACAGAGUGUCGCUGCUGAACCCGGGCUGGGUGGCCCUCCCACAGCCCCCAGGGCUACGGUCUCUGGGUCACAGAGCAGGCAUAGGAGCUGCCUCAGCCCAGCCUGACCCCCAGCCCUUGUGCCCACAGUUUGCUGGGCAGAGCUGAUGGCGGCCCCACCCUGCCUGUGGAGGAGUCCUGGAGGUGUGGGAGCAGCAGCAGGCCAGGCUGGCCCAGGCCCCUCCCUUUUACUAAAAGAAAAGCAUCUCAUGUGGGAGGUAGAAAGGGCAGAGCUGGGGAGGGUCUCAUUGCUGGUUUCAAACUCUUUUUGCCAAAUACUUUUUGUCCACACCUAACCCUCCACAGGAGAGUGGCCAAGAUGCCCGGCUGCUCAUAAAAGAGGCCCCAGAGCACCCCUCCCCCGUCCGCCAUGUGAGGACGCAGUGACACAACUAGGGAAGCCGGUCCUCGUCCUCACCACACACGGAAUCUGCCGGUACCUUGAUCUGAGACUCCCCAGCCUUCAAAGCUCUGAGAAAUGCAUUGUUGUUUCUAAGUCCCCCAGUCUAUGGCAUUUUGUUAUGGCAGCCAGAACUAAGCCAGGCUUCCACAUGUGCAUUCUGGGAGGACGCAGUUCAGUCCCUCACACUUGCUCUUCUCUGUUUUCCUCCUUAUGUUCCUAUCCUUCAUUCUGAGAAUUUUCUUCUGACCUACUUUCCAGUUAUUCAUUAUUUUUCAAUGACAUCUAAACUAUUUUUAAACCCACUUAUUGAGUUCUGAAACGUUGCUUGUAUUUUUUCCAGGCAAUCAUUUUUGUAUUGCAUUUACAAAUAGGCACAGAGAUAGAGACUGCAAUGAGAAAACAGAGAAUGCAAUGAGAAAAGUUGGAGUUCUAGAAAGAAAGUGGAGGGAGAAUAGGAAAAAUACAAUCAGAAAAAAAAAAUACAAAUCUUUCCUUUUCGUGUAAUUUUUAUUUCUCCACUGAAGUUCUUGACCUUGUCUUUUUCUUCUCAUGGACAAUGUCUCCAGCGCUUUCUGCAGCCAUCUGAGGGCGCUGUGUCUGCAUUCUCGUGUAGACGUUUUCAUUUGCAGUGUCUCCAGUCCUUUCUGCAGCCGGCCUCUGAGGGCGCUGUGUCUGCGUUCUUAUGUAGAUGUUUUCAUUCGCUGGGUUUCUCACCACUUACACUCGCGCUGCCAUCUCUCCAUGUGUGCCUGGCUCUUUCUUUCUUUGCCUGACAUUCUAUUUGCAAUGUUUUGGAAGGAGAAUCUGAGGCCAGAAUGAUGGCUCCUCCAGAGAGGGUGAGCCCGAGUGCCAGCAGCUUGGAGGGGCAGGGCGGCGGCUCUGGUGUCCUGCGGUUUGCGUGGGCUCUCUCUGCACUUACAGUCACAAAAAGACAGUAUCUCAGGCAGGAAUUCUCGCAGGGUGCAUGCUUCUCUUUUGACAGUUUAAUGUCACGCAUGGGUUCCUUUGUAAACAUCAGAUCAAUAGCAGAGUUCCAAAUUAAAACAUUAGGAUAAGAAGCCCAUGUUGAUUCAUCCGUCCCUGGAAUGGCCUAGAAGACGGGGCACCUGGUGUUCGGGGAUGCGUCUGUCUCAGGCCGGUCUCCAUGGGUCAGGUAGCCUAGGGUGGGAGGAGGAGGGCGGCGGGCAGCCUAGCGUGGGAGGAGGAGGGCGGCGGGCAGCCCCACAGCCGGGAUCCAGGAGAAAGGAAGGGCCACUCACUUUCUCUUCUUCACAAAGUCCUGGGAACGCAGGGAGGGGAGACGGGGUCUCGCUCUAAAAGGCAGCUUUGUAGCCAAACUGCUCCCUCCAGGCAGGAAGAGAAUCCCCGCUCAGAAGAAAGGUGGGCCACCCCUGAUGACGGCAGGUGGCCCCAAGUGUUUGGAUGCGGUGGGCCCCACUGGUUUGGGCCUAACCUCAAGCGGCUGCUAAUGGUUCCAUGAUACUUUUCCCGCUAACACUUCACAGAGAUGUCUGACUGAUGUCCACUGCUCAGCCGCACCCCCUGAGCUGGUGAGCAUUCAGGCAGAGCACCCACCUCUACUUUUCUCACCCCUAAAAUCAGAGACUGGUUCUAAGCUGGUGCAGCCACCGCCCCUGCGUGCCGGAUGCAGGACUUUCCCUGCCAACACUGGACAGUCCCAGCAAAGCAGACGGUGGGUCGCUCUGUAUCUCUGAAGAACAGCUGGGCCUGCGUGUGUCAUUCUCAGGCAUCUGGCCCAGGCCUUCUCCUCCAGGAAGGUGGGGAGGGGCUGCUCGGCUCCGGGCACUGCCAGGGGCCGUGGGCCCCACAUCCUUUCCAGGCUGUUCCGCAGCAUCUGCCUUCAUACUCACAGCCACCGCGGCGUGCGUCCCAGGGGUUCUCAGAAUAGAAUUCUGUGCCUCUCUCGCCUCUGGAAGUGACCGUGCUCUGUAGGAAAAUAUCACAGCACGCCGGCCUCAAAAGGCCAUGACGUGGCUCCAAACGCUAGAGACUGCUAGCAAUUUGCAAGUUUACGUGAAAAGCUUUGUGAUUUUCCAACACCCUGAGUAGUUCUAGCCAAAAUGCGUGAUUGGCCUCACACUAGACGCUUGCUGUAAUUGUGUCUCUGUAUUAAAUUGACCGUCCUUUGGAGCUUCAGAAUGGACCAGGAGGAAAAGGUAAAUACCAAGCUCGCUACAACCUCAGAGGCAUCAACGCCCUCCUGCUACAGACGCAUCUGUUCUCACCUGGCUCCUGCCAGCUGCCCUGGGAGAGGCCACAAAAUGCCCUCCAUGGACAGAAGACCUGAGAACCUUCGGGGCUCCUGCUGUCACUCACUGUGUUGAAGAACCGCCCGGUCAGCACGCUGGGCCCUAUACACAUACACACACGGCUCUGCGGAGGACGAGGAAGGGCCGUCAGAUGAGACUUCACCGUGAAAAAUGUGCAGAGACACAACAAUCUCGCUGAAUGAAAACUACAGACUCUAAUUUAUAAAAACUGUCUGUUUCAAAAGCCCCAAAUGUUUACAUUCUCCGAUUCAUCAUUCCUUCUUCUAAUUUAUUUUAGGAAAUAAUGCAAAGUACUCACAAAAAAAAUUUAUACAGAAAGAUGUUCAUUGCAGAAUUCAUUAUAAUAAAGAAAACCUGAGUACCCAGCGUCAGCGUGGUGAUAACAUGCAUACAAGGGAAUAUUGUGCAGCUUCAGUUAGUUCUUAUUACAUUUCAUAGGCAUCUUAAGUGCUUUGUGAACAUUGGUGUAUAGAUUUUUUUGUUUGGUGUAGAUGGCAAUAAUUAGAUGGGUGCAAGUAAUAAAAACAGGACGUAAUUUUAAAAAGAUUGAGUGACAGAAAAAAAUGAAACAAUGUUUAAAAAACUUUUUGGUUAUUAUAUUAUCACUACAAGGCCCUGUCUCCUUGCUCCCUUCUUUGGGG